Molecule: non-coding RNA, 2015 nt
Organism: Monodelphis domestica (gray short-tailed opossum)
Lineage: Eukaryota; Metazoa; Chordata; Mammalia; Didelphimorphia; Didelphidae
Source: RefSeq, a predicted model, not a curated record
AGCUUGACGUUCCUGAAGCACUUUUGCUAUAACAAUCCUGCCGGCACACGACCAGCGAACGGUAGAAAGGACGUUCGAACGUGCCCCCUGAUUCUGUCUCACGUGUUCCCGGUUACACGGGGGUUCACGAGCUCGCUCUACCAACUUUUUGAAGAAAUAUUUUGAUAGCGACAUUCCAACGGAACGGGUUGCCUCUAGUCUCAUACCUUUUGUGCAAUCCGUUGCACUUUUCUGAGGAGGGGCCCAUAGGCUCCCCAGACUGCCAAAGACUCCAGGAAACAACAACGUUUACUCCGGGGGGCUGCCGGGUCGCUCAGCGGGUAGAGCGCCCCGCCGUGAGGUGGGAGGAGCUGGUUUCAAAUCAGGCCUCGGACAUGACCUAACUGUGUGGCCCCGGACCAGUUAUUUCACCUCACUUACCUGGCCCUCUCUCUUCUGUCUUAGAGUUGUUAUUAGGAAAGAAAGUGAGGCGUUCAAAAACCCGACGCCCCCUCUAGAAAGAAUGGGGAGAGCGCCAGGCCUGGAGUUGAGAGGGCUCCUCUUCCUGAGCUCACCUCUAGCCUGGGGCACUCAAGCUGUGGGGCCCUGGGCAAGUCACUUGGCCCUGCUUGCCUCCGUUUGCUCAUCUGUAAAAUGAGCAGGAGGAGGAAGUGACAAACCACUUCAGGACUUGGUCAAAAUGUUUUCCUGGCCAAGAGGCUAGGGUGGUUUCAACAAGGAUCAGACCCCUAAGAGGUCUUCCCCGAAAGAGAAGGAACACAAAAACCGCUUCGAUCUCGAGGGCAUCCAUUACUUCAUGUCCUUCUUCAGCAAGUUGCUGAUAAAGUCCUUGGCGUCGUCCGAGAUCUCGUCAAAUGCUUCAUCAUCGAAGUCCCAGGUGGCUGAGGUAACAUUAGCUAGCGUUUCGUUGUCAUUGUCGCCCAUGAAGGGGGAAAGGCCGCUGACCCUGGGGAGAGGGAGAUGGAGAGAGCACCGGUGAGCCGCUAGGGGAGCAGAGGUGAAAGCGGGCCGGCCAGGGCCCGGCCACCAGAGGCGUGGAACGGUCAAGGUUGGGCCAAGUUACGCUGAAUAACCCCCGUUAGGUAAAUAAGGUAGGGGGCUGGGCCAGGGGCCACGAUCACGGGACACAGUUUAGCAGAAAGAUAUUUUCUUUUUUUUUUUUAACCCUCACCUUCCAUCUUAGAAUCAAUACUGUGUAUUGGCUCCAAGGCAGAAGAGUGGUCAGGGCUAGGCCAUGGGGGUCAAGUGACUUGCCCAGGGUCACACAGCUGGGAAGUGUCUGAGGCCAGAUUUGAACCCAGAAUCUCCCAUCUCUAGGCCUGGCUCUCCAUCCCCUGAGCCAACCAGCUGCUCCCUAGAAAGAUAUUUUCUUGAACUCUCUAGUGUAAAGAUUAAAAUUUAGGAAUAGACUGAGGCAUGUAGAAAUUAGUUUCUCUCUGCAAGGAGUAUUAUAUUUUUUAGAGGUUUAUUAAAGGUUAAAGAUUAAAGAAUAUACAAGUAAGAAACAUGUGCCUAGGCCAGAGGCCUAGACAAAAUAACCUCACAUCACGCAAGAGACACGCCUGCUCCAAAACGGAAGUCCAAAAAGAGCCAAGAGCCCUCAAAAGUCUUUGAAUCAGCUUAAAUACCUUCUCGAUCUCGGCCCAGGUGAGAUUACAAGGCAUUCUGGGGAAGUGGAGCAAAGGCUCGUGGGGAUUGUAGUCCUGUAUUCGAGUCUAUUUUUUGCAUUAAUAUAAAAAAAUAUUAUCCUUUAAAUUGCAAAGUUUAAAUUCCUUUUGAGAAGAAUUUUAGGUAAAGAAGAUGCUACUUCCCUGAAUUCAGAAACUGAACUGUUGGAGAAGCCAUCAUGAAGAAGCCUCCAGACCACAAACUGCACAAAAUGAACUUUGGGUGUGGUUAAUGAACAUUUAUUUGCAUGCAUACUUUCAUGCCAAAGGGGACUGCCCCCUAACUGGCUUUCUGUCAAUGCGUCCAGUAAUUAUUGGUUUUAUUCUUUUCUUUCUCUUAUCCUCAAA